Molecule: unclassified non-coding RNA, 182 nt
Filed under: uncultured Cladosporium
Lineage: Eukaryota; Fungi; Ascomycota; Dothideomycetes; Cladosporiales; Cladosporiaceae
Also listed under: 1 other name
Description: sequence contains ITS2
Source: RNAcentral
UCACCCCUCAAGCCCCGUGCUUGGUGUUGGACGGCCUGGUCGCGGCGAACGCUGCGACCCCUCCCAAAGACAAUGACGGCGGCCUGUGGCUCCCCCGGCACACUGAGCUUCUCACCGAGCACGUGUCGGAUCGCGGGCGUCCAGGUCCCGGUCGGCUCCCCCACCAGGGAAAUAUUUAUCAA